UAUCAUCUGUUUCUUAAAUAUUUAUUGAAUUUGACUUUUAAGUGAAAAGGCUUAAAUAAAACAAAAAGACGAUAAGACCCUAUAAAUCUUUACAAUAAAUAUAUUUUAUAUUUUAGCUUAUAAGUGUAUAAGAAAUAAAAAUAUAGGUUUGUUGCGCUGGGGCGGCGUAGAUAUAUAAAUAAACUGUCUAUAAUUUAAAUACAAUAAUUAUUGCUUAAUACAAAUUGAUCCUUAAAUAGAUUAAAAGAUUAAGAUACUUUAGGGAUAACAGCGUUAUUUUUUUUGAGAGUUCUUAUCGAAGAAAAAGUUUGCGACCUCGAUGUUGAAUUAAAGUAUCUCUAUGGUGUAGCCGCUAUAAGAGAGAGUCUGUUCGACUUUUAAUACUUUA
RNAcentral lists this ribosomal RNA (388 nucleotides) under Neolithodes brodiei. RNAcentral describes it as "partial 16S ribosomal RNA". It matches the Rfam family "Bacterial large subunit ribosomal RNA", at positions 2048 to 2598 of the family's 2925-position model. RNAcentral also lists the same sequence under 1 other name. Lineage: Eukaryota; Metazoa; Arthropoda; Malacostraca; Decapoda; Lithodidae. The record is from RNAcentral.